ACUGUGGUAAUCCUAGAGCUAAUACAUGCCAACGAACGCUGACCUUCGGGGAUGCGUGCAUUUAUCAGACCCAAAACCCAUGAGGGGUGCUCUCCGGGGCGCCCCGGCCGCUUUGGUGACUCUAGAUAACCUCGAGCCGAUCGCUGGCCCUCGUGGCGGCGACGUCUCAUUCGAAUGUCUGCCCUAUCAACUUUCGAUGGUACUUUCUGUGCCUACCAUGGUGACCACGGGUAACGGGGAAUCAGGGAUCGAUUCCGGAGAGGGAGCCUGAGAAACGGCUACCACAUCCAAGGAAGGCAGCAGGCGCGCAAAUUACCCACUCCCGACUCGGGGAGGUAGUGACGAAAAAUAACAAUACAGGACUCUUUCGAGGCCCUGUAAUCGGAAUGAGCGCA
This 395-nucleotide ribosomal RNA is filed under the name Chionodraco rastrospinosus (ocellated icefish). RNAcentral's name for it is "SSU rRNA". It matches the Rfam family "Eukaryotic small subunit ribosomal RNA", at positions 146 to 522 of the family's 1831-position model. Lineage: Eukaryota; Metazoa; Chordata; Actinopteri; Perciformes; Channichthyidae. The record is from RNAcentral.